AGAUGAGAAGGUUGGGACUGUGUGAGACUAAGAGAGGGUGAGCAACAGAGAGAAAAGACCUACCUAUUGAGAAUCGAGAUGAAGUCGUCAGAGUGAGAAAGAGGAGUUGCCGAAGAAGAAGUCGAUCUUCAGGUUGCCGAAGAAGAAGUCGAUCUUCAGGUUGCCGAAGAAGAAGCUAAUCUUCAGGUCAUCGAAGGUACGAACCACGAAGAGCUAGGGUUAGGGUUAGGUUUCUCCCCCAACUUGUUCCCUUUGUUCCCUCUUCAGUCUUCAAUGUGUUUGCGGGGUUAUAAAGUCUUCAACGGUAAGUUGUUUCUAUUUUUUUUUUAUUAGCCACCUUAGCAAACCAAAGGCUCACGCUUUAGUGAGCAAGGCGUCAAAGGCAUUUCCUUUUGUGUUCAAUGUUGUUGUGC
RNAcentral lists this long non-coding RNA (413 nucleotides) under Vitis vinifera (wine grape). RNAcentral describes it as "long non-coding RNA (VVIN_LNC006700)". The record is from RNAcentral. Lineage: Eukaryota; Viridiplantae; Streptophyta; Magnoliopsida; Vitales; Vitaceae.